Molecule: long non-coding RNA, 248 nt
Filed under: Elaeis guineensis (African oil palm)
Lineage: Eukaryota; Viridiplantae; Streptophyta; Magnoliopsida; Arecales; Arecaceae
Description: long non-coding RNA (EGUI_LNC037470)
Source: RNAcentral
UACCAUAAAAACUCUAUAUCAAUAGUCAGUGACAACAUCUCAUCCGCAUUGACUUAUAUACGGUGGCUUAAUUGCUCUUUGGUACCAACCCCUUUCAAAUAUUUGAGAUUAUCUCUGAGUGGUUAGAGAUCCUCCAAGAGUGAUUAGGUGCCUCUUAUUCAACGUGUUGAGUCCCGACUAUCCACUUGGAAGAGCACAUUCUUAUCCUUUGCCAAUCGGCUUACUUUGAUUAACUCAAUUCUCGCUUC